ACCUGGGUGGCUCAGUCGGUUGAGCGUCCGACUUCGGCUCAGGUCAUGAUCUCACAGUUUGUGGGUUCGAGCCCCACAUCGGGCU
This 85-nucleotide transfer RNA is filed under the name Felis catus (domestic cat). It matches the Rfam family "tRNA". From Rfam's summary of the family: Transfer RNA (tRNA) molecules are approximately 80 nucleotides in length. Their secondary structure includes four short double-helical elements and three loops (D, anti-codon, and T loops). The record is from Rfam by way of RNAcentral. RNAcentral also lists the same sequence under 2 other names. Lineage: Eukaryota; Metazoa; Chordata; Mammalia; Carnivora; Felidae.